RNAcentral lists this unclassified non-coding RNA (316 nucleotides) under plant metagenome. RNAcentral's name for it is "partial contains 5.8S ribosomal RNA, internal transcribed spacer 2, and large subunit ribosomal RNA". The stretch from base 1 to 105 matches the Rfam family "5.8S ribosomal RNA", at positions 50 to 154 of the family's 154-position model. The record is from RNAcentral.
GAAAUGCGAUAACUAGUGUGAAUUGUAGAAUUCCGUGAAUCAUCGAGUCUUUGAACGCACAUUGUGCCCCCUGGUAUUCCGGGGGGCAUGCCUGUCCGAGCGUCAUUGCUGCCCAUCAAGCACGGCUUGUGUGUUGGGUCGUCGUCCCCUCUCCGGGGGGGACGGGCCCCAAAGGCAGCGGCGGCACCGCGUCCGAUCCUCGAGCGUAUGGGGCUUUGUCACCCGCUCUGUAGGCCCGGCCGGCGCUUGCCGAACGCAAAUCAAUCUUUUUCCAGGUUGACCUCGGAUCAGGUAGGGAUACCCGCUGAACUUAAGC